GAGGGUAUAGCUCAAGUGGUAGAGGGCAUGCUUAGCAUGCAUGAGGUUCUGGGUUCAAUCCCCAGUACCUCCU
RNAcentral lists this transfer RNA (73 nucleotides) under Camelus bactrianus (Bactrian camel). It matches the Rfam family "tRNA". From Rfam's summary of the family: Transfer RNA (tRNA) molecules are approximately 80 nucleotides in length. Their secondary structure includes four short double-helical elements and three loops (D, anti-codon, and T loops). RNAcentral also lists the same sequence under 2 other names. Lineage: Eukaryota; Metazoa; Chordata; Mammalia; Artiodactyla; Camelidae. The record is from Rfam by way of RNAcentral.